This 176-nucleotide ribosomal RNA is filed under the name uncultured bacterium. RNAcentral describes it as "partial 16S ribosomal RNA". It matches the Rfam family "Bacterial small subunit ribosomal RNA", at positions 1325 to 1500 of the family's 1533-position model. The record is from RNAcentral.
GCUGGAAUUGCUAGUAAUGGCAGGUCAGCAUACUGCCGUGAAUACGUUCCCGGGCCUUGUACACACCGCCCGUCACACCAUGAGAGUUGGAAAUACCCGAAGCCUGUGAGCUAACAGUAAUGAGGCAGCAGUCGAAGGUAGAGCCAAUGAUUGGGGUGAAGUCGUAACAAGGUAUC